This 428-nucleotide long non-coding RNA is filed under the name Manacus vitellinus (golden-collared manakin). Its description in RNAcentral is "lncRNA (ENSMVIG00005011638.1)". The record is from RNAcentral. Lineage: Eukaryota; Metazoa; Chordata; Aves; Passeriformes; Pipridae.
CCAAGUCAGGUGGCCAAGCACCCACGGGCUAUGCCGACGCUGCACAGCCUGUUCUGUUGGUGCCCAGGACAGGACGGUUGUGGGAGGCAGAGGUGGGUGAACCCUGUCCAGACCUGCUGUCCCUGGCAGUGUCCUGUGCACCUGGAGGUGCCUACCAGCCUGCCCUCACAGGGACCUGGAGAGGUGACCCACUCUUCGGGCAUCUUGAAAGGAGCGGAAAUGUCUGAGCCUUAAUUUGAGGUCUCUGAGAAAUCUGGAAAGGAGAGGGAUCUGUGCUGACACGCAUCACGAGGGUGGAUGCAGCUCAGGAGGAGCCAAACAGCUUCGGUGCACCACGGGGAAGGAUCUGGGCUUCUUGAGACCUUGUUCAAACUGAACCUUUAAGCAGGAUGAUUGCCCAUCAAUAAAGAAGAGACCAGAGAGAACCA